CCUACGGGAGGCAGCAGUAGGGAAUAUUGCUCAAUGGGGGAAACCCUGAAGCAGCAACGCCGCGUGGAGGAUGAAGGUUUUCGGAUUGUAAACUCCUUUUGUGAGAGAAGAUAAUGACGGUAUCUAACGAAUAAGCACCGGCUAACUCCGUGCCAGCAGCCGCGGUAAUACGGAGGGUGCAAGCGUUACUCGGAAUCACUGGGCGUAAAGAGCGCGUAGGCGGGAUAGCAAGUCAGAUGUGAAAUCCUAUGGCUUAACCAUAGAACUGCAUUUGAAACUGUUAUUCUAGAGUAUGGGAGAGGUAGGUGGAAUUCUUGGUGUAGGGGUAAAAUCCGUAGAGAUCAAGAGGAAUACUCAUUGCGAAGGCGACCUGCUGGAACAUAACUGACGCUGAUGCGCGAAAGCGUGGGGAGCAAACAGGAUUAGAUACCCCAGUAGUC
RNAcentral lists this ribosomal RNA (440 nucleotides) under uncultured bacterium. Its description in RNAcentral is "partial 16S ribosomal RNA". It matches the Rfam family "Bacterial small subunit ribosomal RNA", at positions 338 to 795 of the family's 1533-position model. The record is from RNAcentral.